AUGGCAAGUCACGACAACGGACGCCGCUCCAUUCCCCGCAGCAGACUCCACGUGGCACGUCCCGGUGAUAGCCAAGGGUCCACUCCACUACUCUUCGCAACAAACUCCGCCUGGCUCUGGGCAGCCCACUGCCAGACGGUUACAGAUAUCGCUGUCAGUCUGCUAUCCCCUUUCGUCUAUAAAAGGGGGCCCCAAAUACGUUAUUAUCUAAGCUCUAUUCUCUAUCCCAA
RNAcentral lists this long non-coding RNA (230 nucleotides) under Elaeis guineensis (African oil palm). RNAcentral describes it as "long non-coding RNA (EGUI_LNC067054)". The record is from RNAcentral. Lineage: Eukaryota; Viridiplantae; Streptophyta; Magnoliopsida; Arecales; Arecaceae.